GGCGGACGGGUGAGUAACACGUGGGUAACCUGCCCAUAAGACUGGGAUAACUCCGGGAAACCGGGGCUAAUACCGGAUAACAUUUUGAACCGCAUGGUUCGAAAUUGAAAGGCGGCUUCGGCUGUCACUUAUGGAUGGACCCGCGUCGCAUUAGCUAGUUGGUGAGGUAACGGCUCACCAAGGCAACGAUGCGUAGCCGACCUGAGAGGGUGAUCGGCCACACUGGGACUGAGACACGGCCCAGACUCCUACGGGAGGCAGCAGUAGGGAAUCUUCCGCAAUGGACGAAAGUCUGACGGAGCAACGCCGCGUGAGUGAUGAAGGCUUUCGGGUCGUAAAACUCUGUUGUUAGGGAAGAACAAGUGCUAGUUGAAUAAGCUGGCACCUUGACGGUACCUAACCAGAAAGCCACGGCUAACUACGUGCCAGCAGCCGCGGUAAUACGUAGGUGGCAAGCGUUAUCCGGAAUUAUUGGGCGUAAAGCGCGCGCAGGUGGUUUCUUAAGUCUGAUGUGAAAGCCCACGGCUCAACCGUGGAGGGUCAUUGGAAACUGGGAGACUUGAGUGCAGAAGAGGAAAGUGGAAUUCCAUGUGUAGCGGUGAAAUGCGUAGAGAUAUGGAGGAACACCAGUGGCGAAGGCGACU
Molecule: ribosomal RNA, 644 nt
Filed under: Bacillus cereus
Lineage: Bacteria; Bacillati; Bacillota; Bacilli; Caryophanales; Bacillaceae
Description: bacterial SSU rRNA
Rfam family: Bacterial small subunit ribosomal RNA
Source: RNAcentral